AAUGAACGCUGGCGGCGCGCCUAAUACAUGCAAGUCGAGCGAGAAGACGUAGCAGUACGUUUGUAAAGCGGCGAACGGGUGAGGAAUACAUGGGUAACCUACCCUCGAGUGGGGAAUAACUAGCCGAAAGGUUAGCUAAUACCGCGUACGCUCCUUGGACUUCGGUUCAGGGAGGAAAGCGAUACCGUGGGUAUCGCGCUCUUGGUUGGGCUCAUGUCCUAUCAGCUUGUUGGUGAGGAACGGCUCACCAAGGCUUCGACGGGUAGCUGGUCUGAGAGGACGAUCAGCCACACUGGCACUGCGACACGGGCCAGACUCCUACGGGAGGCAGCAGUAAGGAAUAUUGCGCAAUGGGCGAAAGCCUGACGCAGCGACGCCGCGUGGGGGA
This 388-nucleotide ribosomal RNA is filed under the name uncultured bacterium. RNAcentral describes it as "bacterial SSU rRNA". It matches the Rfam family "Bacterial small subunit ribosomal RNA", at positions 29 to 408 of the family's 1533-position model. The record is from RNAcentral.